This 31-nucleotide non-coding RNA is filed under the name Rattus norvegicus (Norway rat). The record is from RNAcentral. Lineage: Eukaryota; Metazoa; Chordata; Mammalia; Rodentia; Muridae.
UGAUCUGACAAAGAUCUGCUUGGUUGACCUC